Molecule: ribosomal RNA, 492 nt
Filed under: uncultured bacterium
Lineage: Bacteria
Description: partial 16S ribosomal RNA
Rfam family: Bacterial small subunit ribosomal RNA
Source: RNAcentral
AGUGAACGCUGGCGGUAGGCCUAACACAUGCAAGUCGAACGGCAGCACAGUAAGAGCUUGCUCUUACGGGUGGCGAGUGGCGGACGGGUGAGGAAUACAUCGGAAUCUACUUUUUCGUGGGGGAUAACGUAGGGAAACUUACGCUAAUACCGCAUACGACCUACGGGUGAAAGCAGCGGAUCUUCGGACCUUGCGCGACUGAAUGAGCCGAUGUCGGAUUAGCUAGUUGGCGGGGUAAAGGCCCACCAAGGCGACGAUCCGUAGCUGGUCUGAGAGGAUGAUCAGCCACACUGGAACUGAGACACGGUCCAGACUCCUACGGGAGGCAGCAGUGGGGAAUAUUGGACAAUGGGCGCAAGCCUGAUCCAGCCAUACCGCGUGGGUGAAGAAGGCCUUCGGGUUGUAAAGCCCUUUUGUUGGGAAAGAAAAGCAGCAGGUUAAUACCCCGCUGUUCUGACGGUACCCAAAGAAUAAGCACCGGCUAACUUCGUG